GAUGAACGCUGGCGGCGUGCUUAACACAUGCAAGUCGAACGAUGAAGCCCAACUUGCUGGGUUGGUUAGUGGCGAACGGGUGAGUAACACGUGAGUAACCUGCCCUUCACUCUGGGAUAAGCGCUGGAAACGGCGUCUAAUACCGGAUACGAGCUUCCACCGCAUGGUGAGUUGCUGGAAAGAAGUUCGGUCAAGGAUGAACUCGCGGCCUAUCAGGUAGUUGGUGAGGUAACGGCUCACCAAGCCGACGACGGGUAGCCGGCCUGAGAGGGUGACCGGCAACACUGGGACUGAGACACGGCCCAGACUCCUACGGGAGGCAGCAGUGGAGAAUAUUGCACAAUGGGCGCAAGCCUGAUGCAGCAACGCCGCGUGGGGGACGAAGGCAUUCGGGUCGUAAACCUAUUUUAGCAGGGAAGAAGCGAAAGUGACGGUACCUGAAGAAAAAGCACCGGCUAACUACGUG
This 466-nucleotide ribosomal RNA is filed under the name uncultured bacterium. RNAcentral's name for it is "partial 16S ribosomal RNA". It matches the Rfam family "Bacterial small subunit ribosomal RNA", at positions 28 to 507 of the family's 1533-position model. The record is from RNAcentral.